Molecule: long non-coding RNA, 903 nt
Filed under: Phoenix dactylifera (date palm)
Lineage: Eukaryota; Viridiplantae; Streptophyta; Magnoliopsida; Arecales; Arecaceae
Description: long non-coding RNA (PDAC_LNC017003)
Source: RNAcentral
AAGACUUAUAUAUGUCCCACUUACUUACCUAUUUUGACUUGAUGUGGGAAACUAUAUUUGCUACCCCUUCAAUGUCCAUCACUUCUAUGUUAACUUUGUUUUCAUGAUGAAAUACUAAAAAGUAGAUAUAUCUCUACUCUAUUUCUUUAUGUUCCGCAUUGUCAAAAAGAGAGGAAUGUUGGUGAUUGGUGGAAAUAAAGUGAUUUUCAAGAUCAAUAGGAUUUAAAUAUUGAUAAAAAUGAAAAAUUAAAAGAAUGACUUAGGAUAUGAGGGUGCCAACUAGUCUAGUUAGUUAACUUUCUUGUGUUGAUAUAGAAAAUAGAGGAGGUUAGCAUAUAGAAUGACCAAGCUUCACUAAUCCUACUUCUCUAAAAAAAAUAAAAAAUAAAUGACAACAAAAAGGAAAAAGAGGAGGUUAGCAUAUAGUCUGGAACAAGAGAGGCAUGGAAACCGCAUCAUUUCUUAGCCAUAUUUGGUUGCUGGGAAUAGAAAUUAAGCAUGGUUUGUUCAUUUCAAGGAAAUCUAUUCCUGGAUAAUUACUAGUUUUAAUUCUUGUUUUUUGAUAAGCUAGGUAAUUGGAAGAGAGCGAAACAAACCUUAUAGUAUAUAGUCUAAUAUAUUAUUUAUAACCAAUAUUAUUAUAAGACAUAAAUGUUAUAAUAGUGUUUAUAUUUGUAAUAUUAUGGCACUAGUGUUACAAUAUUAUUGUUGAUACCAUAUUAUUAUAAACUAACGAAAACACUUAUCAAAAUAUAUUAAAAUAAUACAAUGUGAUAUAUAAUAUAUGAUUUUGUACAAUUUAUAAUUUCUACAAAUAUAAUAAUAGAAUAUAAAGUAUUAUUCGGUGAAACUUGUGCUAUUAAUAUAGUAAUACAAAUAUUAACAUUAUAACAAAAAUGUUAA